Molecule: ribosomal RNA, 253 nt
Filed under: uncultured bacterium
Lineage: Bacteria
Description: partial 16S ribosomal RNA
Rfam family: Bacterial small subunit ribosomal RNA
Source: RNAcentral
UACGGAGGAUGCAAGCGUUAUCCGGAAUGAUUGGGCGUAAAGCGUCCGCAGGUGGCUAUGUAAGUCUGCUGUUAAAGAGUGAGGCUCAACCUCAUAAGAGCAGUGGAAACUACAUGGCUAGAGUGCGUUCGGGGCAGAGGGAAUUCCUGGUGUAGCGAUGAAAUGCGUAGAUAUCAGGAAGAACACCGGUGGCGAAAGCGCUCUGCUAGGCCGCAACUGACACUGAGGGACGAAAGCUAGGGGAGCGAAUGGG